RNAcentral lists this long non-coding RNA (5248 nucleotides) under Sus scrofa (pig). RNAcentral's name for it is "lncRNA (ENSSSCG00000054778.1)". The record is from RNAcentral. Lineage: Eukaryota; Metazoa; Chordata; Mammalia; Artiodactyla; Suidae.
AGAUUUAAAGCAAUAAUUGACUAAAGAUGUAAAAACUAAACACUGGUCUCACUUCCAAAAAGAUGAUGGAUGUCUAUGGGGGAAUAAAAGAAAUAAUUUUCUAUGUACCAUUUUAAAGGGGGUUGAGGGAAAAUUUUGGAAAGAUAAGGCCUCAGGCUAAUGGAAGAUAAUUGACAUUUUCUUUUAGGAGUUGUUAAUUAAAACAACAUUAAAUAUUCCCCUACAAUCUUUUGUCAGUCAAUAAGAUAGGCCAGUGGAACUGCCACUGAGGGGCCCAUCAAAGCCUAUAAUAUUCUCUCAGAGUAGCUAAUUAUAGCCAUUUUAAAAGGUUUCCAAUGCACUCACCAACAUCUUUUUAAGAAUUCACUUCUAUAAAACAUUCAAAUGUUAACAACCUGCCAUAGAGAAGAUACCAUGUAGAAGCAUUCAAUCAACAUCUUAGAGCAAUGUCCAGUCAUCAUAAUUUUAUAUAGGUCAAACCCUGUUUUUAAAAGGCCUAUAAAGAGAUCCAAUUAUAUAUAAACAUAUAAUAUAUGACAAAGCAAGCAUCAUGAAACAAUGGGAAGGGAAAAUUAAACAAUGCUGGGAAAAGAGUUUAGCAUUUCACUUGAAAUAGAAUGCUUUAUAUCAUAUACUUUAUACCAUAUACCUGAAUAAAUUUUUACAGGUGAAGAAAAAUACUUAAUAGAAUAUACAAUAUUGAUUGGGUCAUGGAUAACUGUGAAAUUUCUAAGACUUUAAAAAAAUAAAAAAGGACAAAGUCAAUCUUUCUACAUAAAGUUAAAUUUCUUUUCUUUUUCCUUUUUUUCUUUUUUUAAUGGCUGGCUGCACCUGGGGCAUGUGGGAGUUCUCUGGCUAGGAGUCGAAUCAGAGCUGCAACUGCUGGCCUACACCACAGCCACAGCAAUGCUGGAACUGAGCCAUAUCUGUGGCUGACACCACAACCUGUGUCAAUGCUGGAUCCUAAACCCACUGAAUGAAGCCAGGGAUUGGACCCACAUCCUCAUGGACACUAUGUCAGGUUCUUAACACAAAGAGCCACAAUGGGAACUCCAAAGUUAAAUUUCUAAGAAAGAAAAAUUGAAAUAUAAGAAAAUUAACAGAAAAGCUUAAUCAUUUACACAAGAAGAUUCACGGAGCCCCCGUCGUGGCUCAGUGGUUAACAAAUCUGACUAGGAACCAUGAUUCAUGAUUCCUGGCCUUGUUCAGUGGGUUAAGGAUCUGACAUUGCCGUGAGCUGUGGUGUGGGUUGCAGAUGCGGCUGCAAUCCCACGUUGCUGUGGCUCUGGCGUAGGCCGGGAGCUACAGCUUCAAUUGGACACCUAGCCUAGGAAUCUCCAUGUGCCACAGGUGCAUCCAUAGAAAAGGCAAAAAGACCAAAAAAAGUUAAAAAAAAGAAGAUUUACAACUGAAUUAUUGGAAAUGAUGAACCUGGCAUCUCAAACAGAAGUCCAUACUAACCUGAGCCAUUGGCUGAUACUAAUGAGAGGAAGACAAAUGCAUGAUGAUAGUAACUCAAUUAUAGAAAGCAAUUUAAACACAACACACUCAUGAACUGCUGCUGACAAAUUGUACAACCCUUUAGAAGAUUUGGCUUUACAGUUCAGGUGUCAUAAAACUUUUCAAAAUCCUUUGACCAAGUCACCUCACAUACAGAAAUCUAUCCUACAAGAAGGAUACUGAGAUAAAUAUAUAAAUAAAUAUAAAUGUGCUUACAAGGGAGAUUUUAUAGUGGAGUUUACAAAAAAGAAAAAGAGAAAUAGACAGGUCUAUCAAGGGGGCUUGGUUAAACAAAUUAUCAAUACAUAUAACAAAUGAAAAAAUAUCAGUGAAGAAUAACCACGAGGAGAAACACUCAUGAUCUAAUGUUAAUAAAAAAAUACAAAGUGGAAAAAUAAACACAAUCAGUCUUGGAAAAAAUACAGAAAAAGUGUCCAUUUCUUAAAAUGACAGGAUUCUGAUGCUGGUUACCCAUUUUCAAAUCUAUUACUGCGACAACUUUAUAUGAGUGAAACAUGCAUAAGGAGUUUUCAUUAGAGGAGAUUUUAUUUUAAUUAAAAUCUUGCUGAAAAUGUCUCUAGUGUGCUGGGGUCACUGUAAAACAGAAGGGCAGAGUUCUAGGUUUCUUACAGCCAAAAUUAGUAGUAUAGAAAUUGAAAUAUUUGGUGUGGGGUAUUGUUUAUUAGGUAAUAAGUUGUUCUUUGCUGGACCAACUGCCAGCUUUAAAUCUCCUGACUAAUUUGUUGUGAAUGGAAUAUAUAACAAAUUACAUGCAAAAAGUGUACAAUCAGAUACUUUUAGUGUAGGAAAGGAGAUGUAAUUUUAUUGGUAUAACUAAUGUAUUUAUCCUUAAAAAUCUAUAACUCCAGGCUAUCCAUGUAGUCAUAGACAGAAACAUAGAGACAUAGCAUCUUCCAAACACAUCCUAUGUUGUUUGAGAUAGAUUUUUAUUCAUAUAAAUUGAAGAAUGUUUGCCAUAUUUUCCUUAUUUCUAGAAUAGAUUGAGUCAUGAUACUAGUUAACAUUACAUAUUUAAUGUAAAUAGGCCUCUGUUAUAAAUGAUAUAGUAUAUAUCAAGUAUUUAUCAGUCACUAUUAAUAUCCAUUUUACAGGUGAGGAAAUUGAGGCACAGAGAAAUUAAACUACACAGCUUUAAAGAAACGGAACUGAAAAUCCAUUUAGUCUUAUAUCUUCACAGCUAAUACCCUGUAAAAGACCAUGCUCUUCUUCUUCAGUGAGGUGUUAUUUGGAACUACAUGAUAUAGCUUAUCUAUAAUCCAUAAAGACUAGGAUUUGAUUUAUAAAAUGGUUAAUUUUGUCUUUGUGAACACUUUAAGGAGACAUUAUUGAAUUACACCGUCCCUCACUCACUUAGUACAGAAUAUUAACAACCAAAGCCUCUGUUGAGCAUGAAUUGCAACUGUAUCAAUUUCCUACUGCCUCUUGGUCUAACAGCAUCAGUAGGAUGAUGGAAAGUAUCUUGAGGCUUAAUAUUCUCUCCAUCGUCGAUUGCAUAAAUACUACAGACAACACAAACUUUCUAAAAUUCAGUUUACUUACUUGGAAGGUGGGACAAUAACAUUUCAAAAUUGUAGCUUUAUAGGGAGGAUUAAAUUAGAUAAUACAGUUGACCUUGGACAAUACAGGGGUUAGGGGUUCCGACACUCUGUCCGGUUGAAAAUCUGCAUAUAACUUCAUAGCUGGUUCUCCCUACCUGCAGUACCUCCAUACCUAGAGUUCAAAUCUACAGAGUCAACCAACCUCUGAUCAAGCAGUACUAUGACAGUAUUUAUGGGGAAAAAAAUCCACAUCCAAGUGCACCUGUGCAGUUAAAAUCCAUGUUGUUCAACGGGCACCUGUAUAUGUAAAGUGCUUUCCUUAGCAUCUGCACAUAGUAAGCACUCUCUAUUUAAUGAAGAAAUGUGAACAUUUUUCUUGUUUAACACAUAUGUAUUGAACCCUCACUUGUUACAAGAACAGUGAUUGGAAACAGAGAUGUAACUGUAGACCCAAUAAACCAAUUCCCUGUCCUGAUGGCACUUGCAUUCUCUUUAGCACAGGAUAAGAUGGCAGAAAACAGAAAUUAUUCUUAGGAACAAAGAAGGAAGGAAACACAUACCGAAUUCACAACUUCAUUUUCCUCAACAAACAAUUGUGCUAAUGCAUGGGAUAGCACUAAUAGCUCAAUAACCACCAUUGGAUAAUGAGGCAAAACAUUUAUUGAGACUGGAAGUGUCAACACAGGCAUAAUCUACUAAGAUGUUAAUUGUUGAUGGACAUUUGCUGCUUCAUAGAGAUUCACCUUGUCACCCACACAAAUGUCAUCUGCUACAGCUUGCAAAUUUCCAUUCAGGCAGGGAUUACUUCUAAACCAGGCUGCACAACUCGUUGUAGAGUAAUUAAUAAAUAUUCAUGAUGCUGAUAUUGCUGCCAAUGAUGACAAAUCUUGUACAUUAGAAAGAGUAUUAUAAAGAUAAGGAUAUUAAUCUUAUAAGAUAAAGGCAUUCUAAAAUUGGUUCCAAUAUCCCAGGAGCCUUUGAAUACUACAGCAUAGACACAUGUAUUUGGUACUUAUACCUCUGGGAAAUAUGGAGUCAUGCUCCAGCAAGUAUUUUUAUAAGUUUAUAACUUAAAUAUUUAUUUACAGAUCAUAUAUACUUUCAAUACAUAACACAGUUUCUAUAUAAGCACUUGGAAUUGUUAUUCUCCCACUCAUGGCUGCACAUUAAAUCUAGAUUUGAUUUUCAUUUUGGACUCUGCAAAAAUACUUUAGUUUAAAUCUCUUUGUAUUUACUAUCAUUGUUUUCCCCAUCCAGAUACACACACUUGUCCACACCAAUAUUUACUGGGCCAUGGGCACACAGUGGUGAGGGUUACAGAUAAUGCCAACUUUCAUCGAUUUUUCAAACUCCUGGGAAAGACAACAAAUAGGUAAACAACAGUGCAUAAAGUAACUGCAAACUGAGGCUCUGUGAGAAACAUUCAGGGUGUUGUGAUAAAAUUUGGCAGGAAAGGCCACUUCGAGGAAUUAAAUAAUUAAGAUCUGAGAAAGAAAAAUAGAUCCAUCAUGUGAAGAAAUACGGGGAGAAAACUUAGAUGGAAAAAAAAGAUCCUGCACAAAAGCCUUAGGAAGAAAAAGAGGGUGAGGUGGAGAGAAGAUGGAAAAUGUACAAGCUGGUAGGAUACAGUGGAGGACAUAAAAUGAUGCUGGGAUCUCUGCUACUCUUCCUGAAAUCAGGGCUGAGAUGAUCAUGGGCAGCAGGGAGGCUGGUACAGUGCCUGCCCAGCCUUAGUGGAGCCUAACAGAGAACAUCUUCUAAAAGACAAGUGCAAUAGGUUGCUUCCCAAACAAGUCACUGAAUAAUUCAGAAAGGGAUAGAUCGGAGAGUUGCAGGUUGUUUCCUACCAAUUUUAUUCAUUUCAAUUCACACUGUUCCCUGGGCUUGUUUAAAAACAGGAAAUACGUCGAGUACUUUGAAUUUGAGAAAUUUCCAAAACACAAGUAAGUCAGUAUUAUGUUCACACCAUGUUUUCUGAUGCUUAAGAUAUUCUUACCAACUUGGUGCUAGGUAAACACAAAAUUAGUUAUUGAUGCUAAUAAGCAAAACCCCAAUAAUGCAUCUUUUUAAAAGACAGACUUUUUAAAAUUAAUUUUAUGUAGCACAUCUUAGAGAAUGUGUGUUCAAUAAUAACAACAAAAGUUACGAAUCCACAAAUUUCUUUUACAUAGACAUUUUGGUGGGCAAAA